RNAcentral lists this ribosomal RNA (855 nucleotides) under uncultured bacterium. RNAcentral's name for it is "bacterial SSU rRNA". It matches the Rfam family "Bacterial small subunit ribosomal RNA", at positions 27 to 895 of the family's 1533-position model. The record is from RNAcentral.
GGACGAACGCUGGCGGGCGUGCUUAACACAUGCAAGUCGAGCGAUGAAGUUCCUUCGGGAAAUGGAUUAGCGGCGGACGGGUGAGUAACACGUGGGUAACCUGCCUCAUAGAGGGGAAUAGCCUUUCGAAAGGAAGAUUAAUACCGCAUAAGAUUGUAGUACCGCAUGGUGCAGCAAUUAAAGGAGUAAUCCGCUAUGAGAUGGACCCGCGUCGCAUUAGCUAGUUGGUGAGGUAACGGCUCACCAAGGCGACGAUGCGUAGCCGACCUGAGAGGGUGAUCGGCCACAUUGGGAGUGAGACACGGCCCAGACUCUUACGGGAGGCAGCAGUGGGGAAUAUUGCACAAUGGGGGAAACCCUGAUGCAGCAACGCCGCGUGAGUGAUGACGGUCUUCGGAUUUGUAAAGCUCUGUCUUCAGGGACGAUAAUGACGGUACCUGAGGAGGAAGCCACGGCUAACUACGUGCCAGCAGCCGCGGUAAUACGUAGGUGGCAAGCGUUGUCCGGAUUUACUGGGCGCAAAGGGAGCGUAGGUGGAUAUUUAAGUGGGAUGUGAAAUACUCGGGCUUAACCUGGGUGCUGCAUUCCAAACUGGAUAUCUAGAGUGCAGGAGAGGAAAGUAGAAUUCCUAGUGUAGCGGUGAAAUGCGUAGAGAUUAGGAAGAAUACCAGUGGCGAAAGCGACUUUCUGGACUGUAACUGACACUGAGGCUCGAAAGCGUGGGGAGCAAACAGGAUUAGAUACCCCUGGUAGUCCACGCCGUAAACGAUGAAUACUAGGUGUGGGGGUUGUCAUGACCUCCGUGCCGCCGCUAACGCAUUAAGUAUUCCGCCUGGGGAGUACGGUCGCAAGAUU